Molecule: long non-coding RNA, 2352 nt
Filed under: Cricetulus griseus (Chinese hamster)
Lineage: Eukaryota; Metazoa; Chordata; Mammalia; Rodentia; Cricetidae
Description: lncRNA (ENSCGRG00015036065.1)
Source: RNAcentral
ACGCGGGGCUCCAGCUUGCCGCGGCCAGCCGGCCGCCUGCUCGCACCCCGCCCGGGCCGCCCCCCGCCAUGAGCGCCGCGCGCUGGCUGCAGGCAGAGUCGCUGCCGCCCGGCCGCCGCUGGCUCCAGUCCGCCGCCAUUAUUCUUUGUUCGCUGCGAGCGGCGGCGGUGUUGUGGGGCUCGGGCGGAGGCUCCAUCUUUACCGCGGCCCCUCCUGCGAGGGGAAGGCCCCGAGCGCGGGUGUCCGGCGCCUCCCCGGCCCCCCUCCGUCCCCCCGGCUCUCUCCGGCUCCUGCCUCCUCCUCCUGCUCCUCUUACCGGUGGUACAAGCUCCUCCGUCACUGCUUUCGUUCGCGGCCCGGAUCUCGCUGGAGUUUUAUUCUCUCCCCCACGUAACACACCGCGUCAAACUACACCUCCGCCGCGUCACUCACCAACACUCCGCUUCUCCCAGCCGCCCGGGCCACAGGCAGCAGCAGCCGCCGCCGACUGAGGAGCCGCAGCCAGGGAGCCAGCCAGCGCCGCCCAGUGCCGAGUGCGCAGCGGCCACUCACGGAAACAGCCGAGCUCGGCCCGGAGCCGCUCGAGAGGCCCCGCCCCCACGCUGGCGGCGGAACCUGCCGAAGGCUUUCGGCCUCUUCCGGGAGCAGCAAAGGCAUGGAUCGCGGAAGACAGGUGUAGGCGGGUUGAGACCCGCUCUGCUGGAGCGGUCCAAACCUCAAUACGGCGAGCUGAGGCUUCAAACGCCGGCUGAGGAAAUUUGGAGGAAGCGGGGUUUGAGUGCGGCCAGAUCGGGGGAUUCCCGGGGUGGCGGGGACUUGAUGGAAACCCCCGCGCGGUCUGAUCCUGCGGCGGAAGCAGACCGCCCGGGAACUUUGACAAGCCGCGAGGGUCAGGAGCCGUGCCGGCGAGCUGGAAGGGCAGGCGGACGCCGGCCACCAGCAAGGGGAAUCUGCCGAGAACUGUCUAAAGGGCCCCAGGUGGUUCUUUGCCGGAAUGAAAGCUACCUGACACGUGGCAUGUGAGAUUCUGCUUGGCUGCCUGUACAGCCAGAGCCCUGCGGGGAGGAAAACCAUAGGACACAGAAGAGGCUGAUUUGGAGCAGAGAGAGCAUCCAGAUGUGGGGGUGACAGAUGGAAUCGGCAGGGAAGGAUUUGUUCUCGGGAUCCUUAAGAAAUUGCUGUAUCCACCCAACUUUCAGCAACCAAGACAACCAGUCAGCAGCCUUCAACAUCCAGGCAAAACCUAUGAGCAAAAAGAUGACUGAAGACUCCAACAGUGAUCAGCAACUUUCAACAUUGAACUACUUUAAAAUUGAGGCAUUAUAGUAAUUACUUGAUUCUCUGUGAAAAAAUACCUGGCCAAUGCAACUUAAGUGGGGGAGGUUUGUUUUGUCUCACAGCUAGAGGGCACAGUCCAUAAUGUCAGAGACGGUGGCAGGAUGGCAGCAGGAGAAGAAGAUGCAGGUCAUAUUGCAGUCACAUCCAGGAAGCAGAGAGAGAGAGAGAUGAUGAUGACCGUGCUUUGCUCACAUUCUCCUGUUUUAUUUUGUUUUGUUUUAAUUUACUCCAGGAUCCCAACACAGGGAAUAGAACAGACCACAUUUAGGGUAGUCUUUCCAACUCAGCCAGCCUAAUCUGGAGAACACCUCAUGGGCAUGUCUGGUGUUCAUUUUAAAUCCCAUCAAUCAAGAUUAACCAUUACUGUUUUGUCUAUUUCUUAUUUCAGACACAAUGAACUGACACACUUGUGUAAACAUGACUCUUACUUGCACUUAGAAACAAAAGAGAGUUUCAGAACUUGCAUUAGGCAAUAUUAACAUGAAUAAUUUUAAUGAGGUGGUUUGAAACCAAACCUGCAAUAUCUGAUGUAUUCUUCCAUUAAAUAACAACUGAUAAAUAUUUUUUAAAGUACAAAGAUGUCUAAGUUUUCUCCACUGUCUUGAAUUUUCUCAAGGGGUAAAAUGAUGACAAUGGCAUCACGAGAUUAUUUUGAGGGUGAAAUGGAAAGACCCAUAUACAUCACACAACACUGGAAGUGACAAGGGAGAGUGCAGAUUUCCAUAACUGCUGUCACCAAAGUUAUAUUCAUUGAUAAACAUCUAGAAUUUUUCUGUAGAGUUUUAAAUUCAUAAAUUCUAUUCCAAUGCAAUAUAUGAAAAGACAAGUACAGGCAAAUCAUUUCAAGCAGCUUUGAAAAAUUUUCAUUUUCAGAGUUGGUCUUUUUUUGAGUUUAAGUCUUUUAGAACAUAUUUGCCUCAGAGACAUUGGUUUUGGGGAAUUUUCUUUUCUUCUUGCAAUGUUGCUGUUACAUCAGGAAUGUUGGAAAGAAGCGAUGAGCAUAUCUGAAAUGUG